Molecule: non-coding RNA, 3627 nt
Organism: Arvicanthis niloticus (Nile rat)
Lineage: Eukaryota; Metazoa; Chordata; Mammalia; Rodentia; Muridae
Source: RefSeq, a predicted model, not a curated record
AGGAGCGGGAGUGGCGGGCUCAAGUGGGCAUUGUUAACGGUCGCCCGCCCGCCGGUCAGCCUGCCUACGGCCACGUUCUGCCGGCGUCUGCGCUCGGCACCCAUCAGAAGCAAGAAGACCAUGGUUCUGUCUGCUUGAUGAGGCUUCGUAAGCAGGAUGUGGUGAGGUGUCCCUGACAGAGUGAAGUCCCAGAGGAGCAGCCAGGCAGCCACUGGCUGGGAACCCUCAGCCUUCCCUGGCCUCCAGGGGGUUUCCUGCUUCCUAAGAGCAGCAAUGGAAAAGCCUGCAACUAGGAAAAAGAAGAGUCAGGCUCCAAAGGAGGAGGCAGGUGCACAAAAGGCCACUGUCAAAGGAGAGAAAACAUCAAAGGGGAAAAAGCCAACCAAGAAGCCAAGAAAGCCUCGUAAACCCCGAAAAGAGCGUGUCCUGAGUCCUGAAGACGAAGCUCAUAUCUUUGAUGCCUUCGAUGCCUCGUUUAAAGAUGACUUUGAGGGUGUCCCUGUGUUUGUUCCUUUUCAGAGGAAGAAGCCCUAUGAGUGCGGUGAGUGCGGACGGAUCUUUAAACACAAGACAGAUCACAUUCGCCACCAGAGAGUUCACACCGGAGAGAAGCCCUUUAAGUGUGACCAGUGUGGAAAGACCUUCAGGCACAGCUCAGAUGUCACCAAACAUCAAAGAAUUCACACCGGCGAGAAGCCCUUUAAAUGUGGGGAGUGUGGAAAAGCCUUCAACUGUGGCUCCAACCUUCUGAAACACCAGAAAACGCACACUGGAGAGAAGCCUUAUGGCUGUGAGGAGUGUGGAAAAUCCUUCGCCUACAGCUCCUGCCUCAUCCGGCAUCGGAAGCGUCAUCCGAGGAAGAAGCACUGAGCAGGGCAGUCUACAAUUGUGGCUCCUUGACAGACACCUGAUGAUGGUCCAGAGUUGUUCUGCAGUGUGCUCACCUGGCCGCCAGUCUCUGUCAUUGAAAGGAAAAUCUACAUGAGACAGGAGAGCCCACAGAGGCUUUCUGCCCUUCAAAUCUACACCUAGUGGUAACACGGUGCUCCCCGGAGCUUCCUGAAGCUCCAGCCAUUUUCAGACUACUUUAUGCUACUCAGGGCCAUCUCUGGAACAGCUUUGGGUCGCUGAGAACUUUAGAGCUAAAGGGACACCCCUGUUGGCAAGGGCCCCUGCCUUUGCUGCCUAUCUGCACCAACCAUGUGCUUUUGUCUCUUCUUUUGAAGGCGUCUGGCUCUGCAUGCCCAGUCCCAUGCAGCCUGCUAGGGCCAAGGAACCCUGAGGUGGAUGCCAUGCAGCACUCUGACCAACUCUGAGGACUAGUCCCCUUGGACAGCACCAAGUCCUGCUCAUCUCUGUGCAACCGACUUCGGUGACCAUUUCUCUUUUCUGGCUGAAACAACAGUCUUUGAGCUUAACCCCUGGGCCUAGAACUGGGUUGCACUGCAUUCCCUUGUCCCAACCACAUCUUAGACAAGUAGCCUGGAGCCAUCCAGAGUCUCAGCAGACCCUUGCACCCUGGCAUAGUGGCAGAUUUCUUAGACUAGGUCUUGUAGCUUCAGAGUGCCAUCAGCAGCUUCUGUCCACUGUACCUUGAAAAACAACCGCAGCCCCACCCCACAGCAUCUGUCCAUUCAGGUCAAUUCCACUUCCUGCUGCUUAGCAGGGCAAGACCACGUGACUGUGGCUAUCAUCUGUCCCGAGUGCUCUAUGAGGUCUGUAUUCUAAAGACAGCAAGUGACUGCUGACCAGGAGGGGAGAAGUGUCACUUUUCGUGGAUGCAUAAAGAGCCCUUAACUUAAGAGAAACAGAGCUGGUCCCAGCUCAGCCACUUCCUAACUGAGCCACAUGGACCCUUUCUGGAUUAAAUUACAAGCUGCUAGAGCAGAUUUCUCCAGUAAGGAGCUCAGAGAACUCAAGAGAGUCAGUCUACCUCUACCACAGAGCACAGCAGAGACCCACUGGGUCAUGCUCGAGGGAGGCUGUUAUCACAGAAUCCAUUGACAACAGGCAAGCUGUAGGUGGAUGAGCUCAAGGAGGCCUUUGGUCACCAUGUGGUGACCACAGGUCACUUUUGCUUGUUCCCACCCUGAAAUUCAAGAUGGCCACAUCACAGCAUUCAUGAGCAACCAUUAGUUCUGGCUCACUGAAGCCUAUGAAGAGUUCCCAGCACCAGCGUCUACUUCAGUGAAAGACAUUGUGAACAGCCACCCAGGAACACAGGAAAUCUUCAGAACCUUCCAGAUGUCUUAAGAUGUGUCCUGGAACAACUAAGAACACUCCAGCAAAGUCCUGGGAUUCUAAUUACAGAAACAUAGUCAACUGCAGCCAGAGAUGUCUUAGAAGUCCAAGGCAGUCCAUUUAUUAGCACCUCAGCUGCCAUGCCCAGUGAGCCUUGUCCUGCAGAGAGAGUUCUGACAGCACAGCUGCUGCUGAGCCUCACUUAGAACAGAGAGCACUGCCAGGGCCUGACAGCAAGCAAGUGAACGAGAGCUCUGAGCUGUGGUAAUAUCUGUUCCUUCAGCCUUCUCCCAGCCAAGAGAGAAGGCGGAAGCCACCUCAAGGAGAGUCAGAAGUAGCUCUGGGCUAGGUCUAGGACUCUUCUAUUUGAGGAGACCAGUGGGUUAGACUUGACUGGCUGCCUCCCUCUGUUUCUGGAAGUCUGUAGCUCCAGAUCACAUGUGGGCUCCUUUCCUCCUGACCUUGGAUCUAUCAUCAAGACAGUGAUUUCCUGUGCCAAUGAAUUGGGACAUUAAGAUGCCCUGAAAAGGAAGGCAGAACUGGGGCCCUAGGAAGAAAGGCUCUGUACCCUGACUCAAGGGACAGAUGCUCUAUGGCUUCUAGGGAAGACUCAGGGGAAUGGGGUCACCUCUGGUGUGAACCCCAGGUUCAGUGCAGACAAGGAGACUGGUCUAUGAGCCACAUUUACCUUUAGGCCAAGCGAUGGUGCCCACCUUCAGCCUGCCCUUUUCAGUGCCUAGUGCCUGUGGAGUUGGGUGUUUGCUUUCUCCUGGUUCCUUCUCAAGGAAGACAAGUGGAUUGACCACUUGACUCAAAUCCUGUAGGACUAAUGCUUUCAUGUGGCAGCUCCCAGAAAACAUCUAGGUGAGGCUGUUUCCCCGCAUCCGGGCCUGCAGUCAUUGGCUUUGGACCUGUAGAGGGUUCCUGGCACCUACAUACUGGCAGCACCCCGUUGGCCUGUCCACAUCUCACCUCGGCCACAUUAUGAUCGGGUGGAAUCUCCUCUUUCUUGUAUCUGGCUGGUGCAGACACCCAUGUGUCCUAAUGCCUCACUGCAGUGAGUGGUGCGUUCCCCUUAAACAGCUGCAGCUAUGGCUGUUGUGUUGUAGCAGACGCUGUCCCCAGUCUGGUGUUGCUGUUUGACAUUUGUUAAUGCUCACAUCCAUGUAAUACCCUUGGUGCUGUGUCAGUGUUGUGCACAUUGGACUAAACAUUCUGCUUUGUUGUGCACUUGGUGGCUUCCUUCGUAUAUGACUCCUCUGCUCCAUGGACAGUGGCACUGAUGCUCCUGCACGCUGCCUUCCAGUUGCUGCCAUGGUUCUGUGAGCAGGUGCUGUUGGUGCUGCUCCUGGACAUCUAUUUUCUCAUAAAAGUAAAUGUGUUUCC